CCUACGGGCGGCUGCAGUGGGGAAUAUUGGACAAUGGGGGGAACCCUGAUCCAGCGACGCCGCGUGAGUGAAGAAGUAUUUCGGUUUGUAAACUUCUAUCAGCAGGGAAGAAAGAAAUGACUGUACCUGACUAAGAAGCCCCGUCUAACUACGUGCCAGCAGCCGCGGUAAGACGUAGGGGGCAAGCGUUACCCGGAUUUACUGGGUGUAAAGGGCGCGUAGACGGCGGUGCAAGUCUGAUGUGAUAGGCGGGGGCCCAACCCCAGAACUGCAUUGGAAACUGUAUGGCUUGAGUGCAGGAGAGGAAAGUGGAAUUCCUAGUGUAGCGGUGAAAUGCGUAGAUAUUAGGAGGAACACCAGUGGCGAAGGCGGCUUUCUGGACUGUAACUGACGUUGAGGCUCGAAAGCGUGGGGAGCAAACAGGAUUAGAUACCCCAGUAGUC
This 443-nucleotide ribosomal RNA is filed under the name uncultured bacterium. RNAcentral's name for it is "partial 16S ribosomal RNA". It matches the Rfam family "Bacterial small subunit ribosomal RNA", at positions 338 to 795 of the family's 1533-position model. The record is from RNAcentral.